RNA transcript from Melanotaenia boesemani (Boeseman's rainbowfish), 2503 nucleotides. RefSeq lists it as uncharacterized. The record is from RefSeq and is a predicted model, not a curated record. The transcript has 8 exons. Lineage: Eukaryota; Metazoa; Chordata; Actinopteri; Atheriniformes; Melanotaeniidae.
GUUAAACAGUCUAAAUCGGUUUGACAGUCUUUAUGUUUACAGAAUAAAAUAGUUAAACCUAAAGAUGGCCUGGUGGGACAAAAAGACUUUCUGGGCUCUACUGGCACUCCUGACAGUAGCAGGUGCUGAAGUUCCAUCAGUGAUUCAUCCUUUUAUAAGAACCUGUGCUGUAAGAGGGUCGACCGUCACCCUCCCCUGCACCUUCACACCUCUGAAGUCUUUCAUUCAGAAUGGAAGAGAGGUUCCUCUGAGGAUCAUCAGAGUCGGCUGGUGUGUGAAACAUGAGAUCUGCCACAACCUCCAACCCCAUUCUGUGUAUGACAGCAACUCUACAAAGAACGACCCUCGCUAUCAGUACCUGGGAGACAUGAAGGGAAACUGUACUUUACAGAUCAGAGACAUCCAGAUGAAGGAUAAUGAAACCUUUCGCUUCAAAAUGGAAGCAGAUAAUCCUGCUGGACAUUUUACCAACCGAACAGGAGUGUCCAUCAGAGUUGUUGAUGGAGAAAAAAUGUCAAUAAAAAGCUCCAGAGAUGACGGACAGUUCAGACGUGGUGAAACAGUCUCCCUGCAGUGCACCUCUUCAGCCUGCACCACCCACCAACUAAACAUCGCCUGGUUCAGAGAUGGCCACGCCCUCUCAGAGACUGGCUCCACCCUCCAGCUCGGCCCUCUGGCUGAAGGGCAUUCUGGGAACUACUCAUGUGGUCUGGGGACCUACAAGAAGACCCUCUCUAAACCGUACAGCCUGCAGGUGGAGGCUGCAGAGGAAGGAGUAAAAACGGGCGUGAAGACGAUCGUCAGUCUGGUUGUGUUCACUGUGCUCACCGUCAUAUUUUUCAUUGUGACGUCCAACAUCAUUAAAAGGACAUGUUGUCUGCAGGACAGCAGCAGGUCAGAAAACACAGCUAAGAGAUACCUGCAGGUUCAGCCUACAGACGUCGCUGAGGAGCUGUGAUGUCCAUAAGAACCACGCUAACCAUGCUAACCACGCUAACCACGCUAACCCUGCUAACCACGCUAACCCUGCUAACCACGCUAACCACGCUAACCCUGCUAACCAUGCUAACCCUGCUAACCACGCUAACCACGCUAACCCUGCUAACCACGCUAACCAUGCUAACCCUGCUAACCAUAAUAAUCAUGCUAACCACGCUAACCCUGCUAACCCUGCUAACCAUGCUAACCAUGAUAACCACGCUAACCACGCUAACCAUGCUAACCACGCUAACCAUGCUAACCACGCUAACCCUGCUAACCAUGCUAACCACGCUAACCCUGCUAACCAUGCUAAUCACGCUAACCACGCUAACCCUGCUAACCAUGCUAACCACGCUAACCAUGCUAACCAUGCUAACCCUGCUAACCCUGCUAACCACGCUAACUAUGCUACAGCUGGUAAACAGACUUUUGGCUGUAACCCAGGAAGAGGUCAUAACACUGAAAAUGUCUCAAACCAAACCAGGUUUGCCAAAAACUAAAGGACUAAACAUGAGAUGUGAACAAGGAAACUCUGCAAUACAACGAUAACGAAAGACUAACAGCAGGGAAUCAGGACUGGAUUCAGUUUUCCUUUAAGAUUCCACAACAUUCCCUAUUAGAGACGAAACUAAGUUCCUGGUCUGCUCAGCAACGUUAGGAGGAGACACGACACAAAGCUGGCAGGAGGAACCCGGUGUGUCUUCUGCUGCAUCCUGGUCCAGACAACUGCUGCUCUGGAUGUUUUCUCUUCUUCAGACCAUCUCUGGAAACCCUGGAGAUGGUUGUGGGUGCAAAUCCCAGUAAAGACCAACAACCAUUCCACGUUCAAAGUGUCUUAAAUCCUCUUUCUUAUUCUUUCCAUGAAUGUUUUACCAACAGCAUCUUCUUCCUCACCUUGUUAACCACAGAUCAUCAGAACCCUGAUCUGAAUUUAGAUAUUAGGUUCAAACAAGACUCAAACACUGGACCUUGAGGUCCAAGGGUCCAGAUGUUUGCUGCUCCAACACACCGGAUUCAGAUUAAACGUCUCUCCUCAACAGCUUAUUGUCUAGUUGUCCCCAAACAUGUUGAGCCAUUAACGUGAUACAGGUGCUGCAGCAGGAAACAUCUCAAACCUGCAGGACAGCGGCCCUGGAGGAGCUGCUCCAUGCUUCCCUGCUGCAACACACCGGACUAUGAUCCUGUUAUCAGACCAAACAAAGCUUCAUUUCUUUGUCUCCCAUAAACAGUGUGAAUAAAUGAGUAAAUAUUGUUUAUUAAUAUUUGUUUUUAUUAUUUCCUGUCGUGUGAAAAUAAAUUCAGAGUUAAAAAAAAGCUCAAACUGCAGAAAAGAACAGAUGAUUUAGGAUUUCUAUGACAGGAUGAUGAUCCUGCUGCAGCCUUCUGAACCACAGCUUCACUCCUCCUCUACAGACAUGAGAAUAUUAUCAUUACAUCAUCCGUUAAAGCAGCAGAGCGGAACGAUAACUGAGCGGACGGUCGUCCUGCUGCAGACUCAGACCUGUUGCUGCAGGUUCUUUGG